UGAGGAAUAUUGGGCAAUGGGCGAAAGCCUGACCCAGCAACGCCGCGUGGAGGACGAAGGCCUUCGGGUCGUAAACUCCUUUUACGGGGGAAGAGGAAGGACGGUACCCCGAGAAUAAGUCACGGCUAACUACGUGCCAGCAGCCGCGGUAAUACGUAGGUGACAAGCGUUAUCCGGAAUUACUGGGCGUAAAGCGCACGCAGGCGGCGCCUUAAGUCUGGCGUGAAAUCUCUCGGCUUAACCGGGAGGGGUCGUUGGAGACUGAGGUGCUUGAGGCGAUGAGAGGGGUGUAGAAUUCCCGGUGUAGUGGUGGAAUGCGUAGAUAUCGGGAGGAAUACCAGUGGCGAAAGCGACACCCUGGCGUUAGCCUGACGCUCAUGUGCGAAAGCGUGGGGAGCGAACG
This 403-nucleotide ribosomal RNA is filed under the name uncultured Caldilineaceae bacterium. RNAcentral describes it as "partial 16S ribosomal RNA". It matches the Rfam family "Bacterial small subunit ribosomal RNA", at positions 355 to 774 of the family's 1533-position model. The record is from RNAcentral. Lineage: Bacteria; Bacillati; Chloroflexota; Caldilineae; Caldilineales; Caldilineaceae.